RNA transcript from Eucalyptus grandis, 5907 nucleotides. RefSeq lists it as uncharacterized. The record is from RefSeq and is a predicted model, not a curated record. Lineage: Eukaryota; Viridiplantae; Streptophyta; Magnoliopsida; Myrtales; Myrtaceae. The transcript is spliced from 8 exons.
UUUCUCUCUCUCCAUGCUCGUGAGUCCCCAGGCAAAGAAAGCCUCCGCUUCCGUGUCCGCUCGGCUUCGCCAUCGCCGUCGCCGUCGCCGUCGCGCCCGCGAACCUGCCUGUCUUCGCCGCCGCCGCCGCCGCCGUCGAAUCCUCUCUCGCCGGGACGCGGUCCGGCGUUUCUCCUCCACCCUCCCCGCGCCCCUCGGGCUCCAUCCCUGGGUUCCGUCUCGUCAUCUCUCUUCGCGGCUCCUCGGUCUGGAUGGCCCUCGUCCUCCGAUAGGGUUUGAACCGGUGCGGCUCGGUUCGAAUCUCUGCUGUUCUGAACGCGUCGGAACGGAAUUGGAGACGGAUCGGUAGCUGUUGGAGCAUCGGCAGAUUGGGCCUGCGUGGUGCGGGAAAAUUGGGAUUUUGAUUCGGUUCGACUGGCUCUGUAAGUUUUGUGGUGAGUGGGGGAAAACGAGGUCGGUCCGUAUUAAUGCUCUGUGGGUAGCCAUGCGAUUAUCGUUCGUUUGGAAUAUAGUUUCGGCUCGUGUUUGUCUAUUCGUAGCGGUUCGCAUGGGUUGAGGUUCUGAGCAGUGUCUAUUAGGCACAAGCAAUGUGCGCUUGAGUGCGGAGAGGGUUUUUCGAGGUGCUCCCGGAGCAUGACCGACCUUCUCGUACGCCCCAUGCCUGUCGACCUGUGUGUUGUCAUUCUUGGAUGAAAAUAAAGAAAUUCAUAAUGUUCUGCUUAGGCGGAUGUGGAACACGUGUUCCUGGAGUACUUGGAGAUUUUUCGUAAGUGGGGCAAUGAUUUUUAUGAAUUGGUGGAUGGUCAUCUUCCGUUUGUGUUGUGCUUGUGUGGCCCAUAGAGGUUUUACUGUAUUGGUGUAUGGUUAAUUUCCUAAACACGUUGAUGAUUGUGGUUGAUGAUCUCAGAUUAUUUUUUGGUCUUCCUGUGUAGUGUGAUUUGUCUAACGUGGAUAAUAUAGAUCUGUUCUAGCUUUGUCUCAUUCUGUCUUGGCCAAAAUAGAUGGUUCACUAAUACUCUUGUUGAUGGUUGUUUAAUCUUUUACGCAAUUUUGAGUGUCUUACUGCCUUUUUAUUCAGAAUUCAAUGGCUGUCCUAAAUAAUACGCUUCGUCAUGAGCCGUCAAGAGCUGUAACUUCUGUUUAUGGCUGUAGUUCUGUGUGGAGAUCUGGAUUACCUGUGAUGGCUAAUGGCAAUUGCUACUCUCAUAAUGGCGCACCUAAGUACAGGCGAAGGAUGGUUUCUGCUAUUCGUGAUUUUCCUUCAGGAUGUGGACGAUUUGCACCAAGUAUCAAUGUGGAACCAACAAAGAGUUCAGUUUACAUUGCCAGCUCUCAGAAUAAGGGGACUGCAGCUGAGGCUGGUGAUGCAUCGUGGGGAGGUCAUGUUGAUUCUAGAGUUGGAGAUUCUACAGCUAUCCUCACACAAACAGGUGUUGUAGAAUCUAAUUUGAAAAAGUUGGGGCAGGUGGCUGAUGUAGUUGAUGGUCUAAGCUCAGUGAGUGAGAAGCAACCGACAGGAAUGUCUCUGGGGACUUUAGAGUGCACAGGAAUUGUAGAACCUAGAAAAGUUUUGGAAUCUGAAUUGUUUGAGAGAGAUGGUGGGGUUGCUGCUACUCCUCAAAAUAAAGAUACAACUGAAUCAUUAAUUACUGGUUCCACCGGCAAGUCUCUUGAGAAACCUAAAGCUAGAAGCUAUCCACCUAGGAGAAGGGUUUCGGCAAUUAGACAAUUCCCACCUCGUUUUGGAAGGAAUGCUCCUCUACUUGAUAAGGAAGCACACUUGGAUGUGGCCGCUCAUUUGAAGGAAAUAAAGGUCAGUGAGGAAAGCCACUCGAAGAAUGAAAAAACUCUAAGGGGGACAGAAGUGGCUGGCACAAAUUUGAUUAAAGAAAGUUUACAAGAUUUGGAUUCUCAGGAGUUCAAAUCUUUAAAUGAGGUAACUGAAGCAACUAAAGCUGAAGUUCAGGCUGAACAUGAGGAGAAUGGUGUUGAAGGCAAGAGAGAGCCAGAUAAGCUGGGAACAUUUUCGGAAACGAACAUAGAACUAGAGGUUGCCAAUGAUGGUUGGGGUGGAUCUCCGUGUGGAAGUAAUCCAGAUCUUUCCGUCUGUCAGUCUGAGGCAUAUAUUGAUAAAAGCAUCAGGCACAACAGAAAACGGGCAAAGAAAAUGGUUGCGUACAACAAGGAGGAAAGUCUCAAGAGAAAGCAUGCAGACAUACUAGGAAUUCAGACAUCAGAAGACAAUGCUGGUCCAUCACAAGUUUCAUCUGGAAGGGUCCUUGUGCAAGGUCUGAUGGCUGCAUCGUUUUGUCCUUGGCAGCAGAGCAGAGAGGGAAGCAAAAUGUCUUCUCCUAAUAAUAUGACUGCAAGGAUAGGGAAGAAAGAAGAUCCUGUAGGCCCUGAGAAAUCAAAAUUAACGCAGAAGAAAAAAGACCCUGUGGUCCCUGAGAAAUUAAAAUUAACUCAAAGGGUAAAGCUUAUAGAGGCAAAAACCUCUGUGGGAAAGACUCCGCAGAAGAGCCAAGCUUUUAAAGAAGAGUCUGCUCAUGCAAGCACUAGCGAACUGGUGGUCUGGGGAAAUCAGGAUGUUGUGGACAUUAACGAGCACCAUGAAGAUCUUCAGGUGUUUUUGCAUCCUAGAGCAUUUACUGUGAACCCACCUCCUUUUGGUGAUGGUCUUUUACAAAGAAAACACAGUGAUGAUGUUACUCGACACAAAGUCAGGGAGACACUGCGUCUGUUCCAAGCUGUCUGCAGGAAGCUCUUGCAGGAAGAAGAAGCCAAGACCAAAGGUGAAAACAAGCAUAAAAGGGUUGAUCAACAAGCAGCAAAAAUCUUGAAGGACAAGGGAAGAUAUGUUAACACUGGAAAACAAAUCAUAGGUCCUGUACCUGGAGUUGAAGUUGGGGAUGAGUUUCAGUAUAGAGUAGAGCUGAACAUUAUUGGCCUUCAUCGCCAGACUCAGAGAGGUAUUGAUUAUUUCAAGAAAGGUGGAAAUGUCCUGGCGACGAGUAUCGUGUCAUCGGGUUCAUAUUGUGAUGAUCUGGAUAACUCAGAUUUUGUGAUAUACACUGGCUCGGGAGGGAAUGUGAUUGGCAAGGACAAGGAGCCCGAAGAUCAGAAACUUGAAAAAGGUAACCUUGCUCUGAGUAACAGCAUAUCUGAAAGGAAUCCUGUGAGGGUGAUUCGGGGAUUGAAAGAAACAAGGCCAUCUGAUUCCGCCGAAGCAAAACCUAGACUGGUUACUACCUAUACUUAUGAUGGGCUGUAUGUGGUGGAAAAACGUUGGCAGGAACUGGGUCCACAUGGCAAACAGGUCUUUAAGUUCCGUUUGAACCGAAUUCCUGGUCAGCCUGAGCUCGCUUGGAAAGUGGUAAAGAAGUCGAAAAAGUUUGAAGCACGGGAGGGUCUCUGUGUGCAUGAUAUUUCACAAGGGAAAGAGUCCAUUCCAAUAUGUGUUGUCAACACCAUUGAUAAUGAAAAGCCCCUGCCAUUUGAGUACAUUACUCGCACGAUAUAUCCUGACGGGCUCUGCCUGCCCUGUCGGGGUUGUGAUUGUUCUAGGGGUUGCUCAGAUACGGAGAGGUGCAUCUGUACUGUCAAGAAUGGAGGAGAAAUUCCGUACAAUUAUAAUGGAGCUAUUGUUGAGGUAAAGCCCCUGGUUUAUGAGUGUGGACCUCGUUGCAAGUGCCCUUCCUCUUGCCACAAUAGGGUCACCCAGCGUGGUCUCAAGUUUCAGCUAGAAAUUUUCAAGACUGAAUCAAGAGGUUGGGGUGUGAGAUCCCUUAAUUCUAUACCCUCUGGAAGUUUUAUAUGCGAGUAUAUAGGAGAGCUCCUUUCAGACGAGGAAGCAGAAGAACGGACCAAUGAUGAGUACUUAUUUGACAUUGGCACUAACUACAACGACAGUAAUCUUUGGGACGAGCUCUCAACCCUUAUGCCUGAUGUGCACAUGGAUUCUUGCGAAAUUGUGGAGGAUGGUGGUUUUACCAUUGAUGCAGCCAAGUGUGGGAAUGUUGGGAGGUUCAUUAACCACAGCUGUUCUCCCAAUCUGUAUGCCCAAAAUGUCCUCUAUGAUCAUGAGGACAAGCGAGUUCCUCACAUAAUGUUCUUUGCCGCUGAAAAUAUUCCUCCUUUGCAGGAAUUAACUUACCAUUACAAUUAUACGAUAGGUCAGGUUCAUGACUCUAGUGGCAAUAUUAAGAAAAAAGAUUGCUACUGUGGUUCUGUGGAGUGCACGGGAAGGAUGUAUUAAGGAGAAAUGACUGAAGUAUGUUUUUGGGUUUUUGAGAAGGAAGGUGUGCUGUUGGCCAGAAAGAAGAGAAGGAACUUGUGCUUUCUCAGGAGCCUGGCGUUAUGUGGCAGAAGGUGUUACAGAGCGCACAACAGAAGCUCUUUUUCUUCACCUGGGAAGAUUAUCAAGAGAGGGCCCAUGUUUGACUCCAUCAAAAUAUUUAAUUGGACCAUCUUCACAUAAAAGUAUAAGCCGAGUUAGUGCUACCUUCGCUUGAGGUUGUUGGGGUUAGUGCGACCUUGGGCGACGGUCACAGUAGGCUAGAUUGCCGAAGCUCGAUCUUGCCUCACUGGCGACGUCGCACAAGACCUAGAGCAGAUGCUGCAAGAAUUAGGGCAUAGUCGGCCUCAUCGAACAGAAACUUGUGAAAUACUUUGGAAGACCCGAACAUUUAAUGACACCAGAGCCACACCUUUCAGGCCUCUAGGUUGCUGUAACUUCUGAUUUAAUUUUGACAGUAGCGUGGAUGUUUGGCACUGCUACUAUGUCUAUGGGCAGGACAAUGAGAACUCUCAAUGUAGAAGCCACUGGAUGUUCGAUGGGUGAGACAGCUUGAGCACAUUGGUAUUGUUCACUAUAGAGAACUGAAUGAGGUAGUGUAUGGAACCUGGCUUUACAGUUAACUGCAUAUAUCCAUUUUUUGGUUUUCUUUGUUUUUUCACAUGGAGAUGAUCUUUUUCCAAUGGGUAGUAAGAAAUUUUUUGCUGAACCAAACGUGGUUGCAUGUUUAGUGAAAUUGAGGUUUCUGCUGAAACUUUAACUAAUACAUCAAUGCAAUGUGCAACUCCUGCUCACACUCCUGCAAAUGUUACAUUUUCGUUGCUUGCAGCAAUAGAUUAGCAUGCAGUGAGGCCAGAGAAUGUGAGUGUUGUAAAAUGCUAUCUAUGGCUUCUAAUAUUGGACCAGAAUAUGAAGCGGGGUCUUUAAUCACAUCUGCCAAAAUUGCUAUAUAUAGAUCCAGUUAGAUUCCUUGUUGGUGGAUGUGAUAAGUGCAAGUUGAAGAAUGUCACAGGUUCAAACGAAUACAACAGUUGACUUUGAUAUUGGAAGACUGAAAGAGGCUUCUAAAUUCACAAUGUUUGAUUACCUAUAUGGUGCAGCACUUCAAUGCUUCCUAAAGGACAAGGUCUCAUGGUGGCUGGUUUGAAACUUCAUGAAGCAGGCAGAGGGCCAGAUAAUUUGGAUACACAAGAAGAACAGCUCUGCAUUGGGCAUCAAAUUUUGGAAGAUAGGACCGUCAAGAUCUUGGAAAUUAUUUAUAUACACCAGCACAUAUUAAUCCUUGUUAUAUUUUUGCCCUGAAGCUGGCCAGAUCAUGCGGCUUGUUCUGGUCAGGACUCACUGAACGGCGACAGUUAUUGGUGUUCGGCAAAUCACGGAGAGGAGACUGAUUGAAUUCGUUGGAAUUGGAGCAGCGCCAGGAGCUGUUGAUGAUUCAAGGCCUCAGUAAGUCUCGGAGGUCAAACGGUGCUCAUUCGGCUUCAAGCAUGGGGCAUAAGGGAAUUGUCGCAUAUGUGGUUGAAGCAACUUUUUAUUGGAUUUCUUUAUAUUGGACUCUUUUUUGGACCAUACUCGUAAUUUGACUUUAUUGACUCAGAGAUGUUUCUGGCCCA